GACAGAGGUGGCAAGCGUUGUCCGGAAUUACUGGGCGUAAAGCGCGCGUAGGUGGCUAGAUAAGUCCGGUGUGAAAUCCUUCGGCUUAACCGGGGAAUGGCAUCGGGGACUGUUUAGCUAGAGGACGGGAGAGGAGAGCGGAAUUCCCGGUGUAGCGGUGAAAUGCGUAGAGAUCGGGAGGAAGGCCGGUGGCGAAGGCGGCUCUCUGGGUCUGUCCUGACGCUCAGGCGCGAAAGCUAGGGGAGCAAACAGG
Molecule: ribosomal RNA, 253 nt
Filed under: uncultured bacterium
Lineage: Bacteria
Description: partial 16S ribosomal RNA
Rfam family: Bacterial small subunit ribosomal RNA
Source: RNAcentral